UACGGAGGGAGCUAGCGUUGUUCGGAUAUACUGGGUGUAAAGCGCACGUAGGCGGCGUCGUAAGUCAGGGGUGAAAUCCCGGAGCUCAACUCCGGAACUGCCUUUGAAACUGCAAUGCUAGAAUCUUGGAGAGGCGAGUGGAAUUCCGAGUGUAGAGGUGAAAUUCGUAGAUAUCGAGAGGAACACCGGUGGCGAAAGCGGCCUUCUGGACGAGGACUGACGCUGAGAUGCGAAAGCGUGGGGAGCAAACAGG
This 253-nucleotide ribosomal RNA is filed under the name uncultured bacterium. RNAcentral describes it as "partial 16S ribosomal RNA". It matches the Rfam family "Bacterial small subunit ribosomal RNA", at positions 524 to 776 of the family's 1533-position model. The record is from RNAcentral.